Molecule: RNase P RNA, 467 nt
Filed under: uncultured Faecousia sp.
Lineage: Bacteria; Bacillati; Bacillota; Clostridia; Eubacteriales; Oscillospiraceae
Description: Bacterial RNase P class A
Rfam family: Bacterial RNase P class A
About the family: Ribonuclease P (RNase P) is a ubiquitous endoribonuclease, found in archaea, bacteria and eukarya as well as chloroplasts and mitochondria. Its best characterised activity is the generation of mature 5'-ends of tRNAs by cleaving the 5'-leader elements of precursor-tRNAs.
Source: RNAcentral
CGGGGCGGACAGCCGCGGAUGGGAACCGAAAGGACCCAGAUGAGGAAAGUCCGGGCUCCACAGGGCAAGGAUAACGGGUAACGCCCGCCGGGGGCAACCCCAGGACAAGUGCAACAGAGAGAUACCGCCAUGCCCCAAAAGGGCUCCCAUCGAAGCCCAGCGCAAGCGGGUUCGAUGGGAAAGAGGAGAUUGCGCAUAUAGGGCGAGCUUUCCCGCUUGCGGGAAAGUGAGCGUUUAUAUGCGGCAAUCGACGAUGGUAAGGGUGAAAAGGUGCGGUAAGAGCGCACCCAGCCCAUGGAAACAUGGGUCAAGAGCGCCUAUGCGCUUCAUGCUGUAAACUCUAUCCGGAGCAACACCGUGUACGGGACAUUUGGCUUGCCCGGCCGUCCCGAAGAGGUGGCUUGACUUUGCCGGCAACGGCAAGGCUAGAUAGAUGGCUGUCAAGACAGAACCCGGCUUACAGCCCC